GGCCCCGCCAGUGACCAAUAAUGAAUUCGCCGUAGCAUCUAUGAGAUCACCACCAGUGACAGCUGCCAGAAGCAUUUUUCUUUUGCAACAGGGCUUCUUUAUUUUUGGGGAUGAUAUAAAUAAACUUUUGUGUAUAUAAACUAUGUAGAAGCUCUGUACUUUAUAUGAACCAGUGGGUUGUAAUACCUUCUUUUGAUAUAUACAAGUUACACUGCUUUUGACUA
Phoenix dactylifera (date palm) is the source of this 224-nucleotide long non-coding RNA. RefSeq lists it as uncharacterized. Lineage: Eukaryota; Viridiplantae; Streptophyta; Magnoliopsida; Arecales; Arecaceae. The record is from RefSeq and is a predicted model, not a curated record.